UGGGGAAUUUUGGACAAUGGGCGAAAGCCUGAUCCAGCAAUGCCGCGUGUGUGAAGAAGGCCUUCGGGUUGUAAAGCACUUUUGUCCGGAAAGAAAUCCUCUGGGUUAACACCUCGGGGGGAUGACGGUACCGGAAGAAUAAGCACCGGCUAACUACGUGCCAGCAGCCGCGGUAAUACGUAGGGUGCAAGCGUUAAUCGGAAUUACUGGGCGUAAAGCGUGCGCAGGCGGUUUUGUAAGACGGAUGUGAAAUCCCCGGGCUUAACCUGGGAACUGCAUUCGUGACUGCAUGGCUAGAGUAUGGCAGAGGGGGGUAGAAUUCCACGUGUAGCAGUGAAAUGCGUAGAGAUGUGGAGGAAUACCGAUGGCGAAGGCAGCCCCCUGGGCCAAUACUGACGCUCAUGCACGAAAGCGUGGGGAGCAAAC
Molecule: ribosomal RNA, 426 nt
Filed under: uncultured bacterium
Lineage: Bacteria
Description: bacterial SSU rRNA
Rfam family: Bacterial small subunit ribosomal RNA
Source: RNAcentral